UCUCUCUCUCUCUCUCUCUCUCGCAGAGGGGGAGGAGGAGGACAUUUGUUGCAUCUUCCUCUCUUGGCUGAACUGGAUUAUAAUAUAGCAUAUCGACCACCAUGUUUCACCGCCGGAGCAAUUCCCAUCGGGAUCAGGAGGAUGAUUCACUGCGACAUGAGUCUAAGGUCAAUGAGCUAAGGAAUGCAAUUGGGCCAAUAACAGGACGCAGUUUACAAUAUUGCACUGAUGCAUGUUUGAGAAGAUAUCUGGAAGCUCGUAGCUGGAAUGUGGACAAAGCGAAGAAAAUGCUGGAGGAGACACUUAAAUGGAGAUCGACUUAUAAGCCUGAAGAGAUUCGUUGGGUAGGUUUGGUUUUUUUUCCUUGAUGUUGAUCAUUGUAAAAGCCCUGUAAUAUCCAGUUUAUUUUGAGAUGGAACUGUAACAAUUUCCCUGGUCAUGAAACUGAUUUUGUCUCAGCAUGAGGUUGCUAUUGAAGGGGAAACAGGUAAAGUGUAUAGAGCAAAUUUUCAUGACAGACAGGGAAGAACUGUACUUAUACUGAGGCCAGGAAAGCAGAAUACAAAAUCAUUAGACAAUCAGCUCCGACAUUUGGUGUAUCUCUUAGAGAACGCCAUACUUAACCUUCCAGAGGGCCAAGAACAAAUGGCAUGGUUGAUAGACUUCACUGGAUGGUCGAUAAGCAAUAGUGUGCCCAUCAGAACAGCUCGUGAUACUAUUAAUAUACUACAGAACCACUAUCCUGAGAGGCUAGCCAUAGCAUUUCUGUACAAUCCUCCACGGAUUUUUGAAGCAUUCUGGAAGGUUUGAGUUCUUACUUCUGCAUUCUGGUUUUGAAAAUGAAUAUUAGAAAUCCUUCGGCUUGAAACCACCAAUCAUGCUGAUAAUCUGUCCGACCAUGUGUCCUAGCAGAUUAGACAAUAAUUUAUCAUUCCAUCAGGCAUAAUAACUUUCUAAAAUGUGAUAUUAAAUAAUCUAAAAUUGGUAGUUGCUAUAAUCCAUGAUGCCUCCUUGUCUUUGGUUUCUAAAAGCUAGAGAGCACCAUAACAUCUUAUAUUGUUCUAUUCCAUGGCUUUCUGAUUGCAGUAGGUUCUUGCUUUUAUGUUUUCCGGGCAUACUAAUUAGAUAAUUUAAGUUAUUAUUUAAAGGAUCAAUUCUUUUCUUUUCCAAUUAAAAUACCUAUGGAAUAACCCAGAAACUACAUGGAUCAAUAUGGCCUGCAAAAAUUCUUUAGUGAUUAUGAAAAACAGCAACUGUUCAUCUCAUUUUUGCCAACACUUUCUCCUGUCCUUACCUCUUAUUUAGAGAGGAUGGGGCAUGUAACAAUUCUUUUAAUGUUUAAUCAUUAAAUCCGUUGUAUUUGGAAUGAUAAGUGACCUUACAAGAUUUGACAUAAUGAGUUGUGUUGAUGCAUGCAGAUUGUGAAGUAUUUCUUGGAUGCCAAAACAUUCCAGAAGGUGAAGUUUGUGUACCCUAAGAAUGUUGAUAGUGUAGAACUUAUGAGGUCAUAUUUUGAUGAUGAAAAUCUGCCAACUGAGUUUGGGGGAAAAGCCAUGUUGGAGUAUGACCAUGAAGAGUUCUCAAGAUUAAUGACUCAAGACGAUGUCAAGGCUUCCUCGUUCUGGGGAUUUGACAAUAAACAUCAACAAGCUACAAAUGGGCAUCAUGGUGCUGAGGUGGCUCCAGAGCCAAUGGCGUAGUUCCCCCAGCUAUCUAGCUUCCCACCUUUGGUGUGUUAGUGUAACGGAACUAUGGAAGUAUAGAUCCACCAUUGUAUGUAAGCUCUUAAACGUAAACCAGCUGGUGGAUGGGUCAUUAUCUUUAUCUUUGCUAACAAAAGCUGUCAGCAUUAGCAAUGUUUAUGGGCUUCUAGGUUCGAGCUAGAAUAAUAGAAAUGUAACCAUCUUAUGUUACUUAAGGUCAAGAGGAGCCCUAUUUUUUUUCUCCUUGUACUGUUUCUAAUCCUUUUAUAAUUAUCCAUCCCCAGCAACCCAGGAAUUCAGUAUAAUUAGUUUACAUCACUUAAAACCAAGAAAAGGAUGCCACCUAAUCAUUUCUCUUCUCAACUUACAUUAUCAGAAUGAUCAAUGGGCUGUUCAAGUACUAAAUUUGAGAUGAGGAGAACAUAUGCUGCCCUGGCUUCUCAAAAACAGAUUUUAUUUACAGGGAAAAACAAGCCAUUCUAACUUUAUACGUAUAAACAUUGACAUCAAUGUUAGGGACUUUGAUAGCUUCCUACUAGUAGCAUCUGUGUCAUACCCUUGUACAUAAACACCACGUUUCAUUAGAGGCUCUGAGGAGAAACACAAGAAACAAAUGAAAGUAGGUCACUACACAGAGAACUCACCGAGUCAAAAGUCUUGCAGUUGAAGGUAACUAGGUAUUUAGCAGCUCAGAAAAGAGGAAUCACACGAGCCCUCUCUUAAAGUUUCGAGUGGUUGCUUGGUAUGUACGAACUAGCAAACCAACUCCUAUACCAAUUCCAAGACAAAUACCAAGCCCAAUUCCUACGCCAACCCUUACUCCAGCAUUGAACCAUGAUAGUUCACCAUCUUCACCCUCCAUAUAUGCACUCCUCCAGUACAUGUUAUUAUAAUCUUCUUCAUUUUCUAGUUUGUAACUUCUGUAAUCUGCUAUCUGCAGAUCAUGUUGGGCUGAAACAUUUUUUGGGGAUUCAGUCGUCUCAUUCUCUGGAAUUGAAUCCAGCAUGCCCUUCCUAAUAUGCUUCUUGCAAUGACUAAGCUGAAAAGUCUUGGUUAAUAUGAUGGGUGUUCCAGAGAAGCACCCUGUAACAUAAACCUCAAUGGUUGGUAAGUCAGUACUAGUAAUUUGUUUCCCCUUCAAGAAGCCAGAACCAGCUGCAAUCUCUGGUUCACAAUUCAUUCUCCACCGCUUCACUUUGCUUUUUGAUUCCCCAACAAAACCAUUACUGUUAGACAUCUCCAGAACCCCAGAUAGAAUUAGAUCCUCUUUGUGGAAAACCUCAAAUUUCACACUACUUGUGAUUCUAAUGCUAUCUGUGCUAACAAAUGUAGCUUCUUCAGAUUUCUUAUCCACUCGAUCCCUUCUGAGAAGGAAAGAGACACCAUCAGAGUACAUGCUGCUUCUAACACCAUUGACUUCCAAAAGGGUGUCUGGCCUGAGAGGGAUAUGGUUGAGAGUGAGAAAUUCUGGAUUCGAAGCAUCGACCUGGAAAUUACUAAUCCUGACAUAAAAGACUCUCAAAUCAAACCAAGGCGAUGAAAAUUUGGUGCAGGUUUGGAAUGGAGAAAGUCUAAUGAUCUGAAGAUUGGAAUUUGCAGCUUCACCAAUGCAGGAUGUUUCGUUAGCACCCUCCAUGACAAGCCACGGAGCUUAAUCCUCACUGAAAAAUUGAAUUGGAACGGAUUGAUUACAUCAAGAAAAUGUUCGACCCAUGGUUUGAAAGUGAGAGCAAUCCACUAAGGAAUUUAUACGGCUCUAGGACCCAGCCGACUUCUCAAAUCGCCUCCAAGCCGUAGCCAGCACUUUUAGGAGCUGUCUGGCUAGCAGUCUCCGACGUGUGAUUCUGAAUCCGUAAUGUUUGCCAAGCGUAUUUUUCGAUUCGUCUAGCACUGGUCUUUGUCCCUGUUCAUCGGGUGUUUGCAGCAAAAUUUCCCCGUUUCUCUGGCUUUAAAGGCGCUGAGCAAGGGACUUUGGUUGAGUGGAGUGUUUGAGCACCACUAUACUGUUAAUGUGUUAUUUUCCUUGCUCGGUUGAGUUUGAUUAGUAGUCUACUCUUGAUAUCCAAUGGCAAGAUGUUAUAGAAGAAGAUGGGUGAUGACUGCUGAUAAAGUGUUGCAGAUGAGCCUCGCGUAUACCUAGUUCACCUCUAGGGUUCUAUCUAUUGGGCUUGGAUUUGGAUUGAACUGUUUGUAGCAAAGUUAAUUUUUUAUGGGCCUUGCUUUAAUCAUUUUAUUUCAUCUAAUGAAAAAAAGUGAAAGGACAGUGCUCAGACUGACACACAGUGUCCGAGUCGUAUCCUCACAGAGGAGCAUGGUAUGGUAACCACACCCACGUAAAAUCCACAGCUCUUGUUCAGUAAAGCCUUUAGUCCAACCCUAACCAUGGUUUACUCUUAGAUUAGGGCGUUAGGCUCCUUUCGUUUUUUUUUUU
Molecule: unclassified non-coding RNA, 4134 nt
Filed under: Hevea brasiliensis (rubber tree)
Lineage: Eukaryota; Viridiplantae; Streptophyta; Magnoliopsida; Malpighiales; Euphorbiaceae
Source: RNAcentral